Molecule: signal recognition particle RNA, 148 nt
Filed under: Pan troglodytes (chimpanzee)
Lineage: Eukaryota; Metazoa; Chordata; Mammalia; Primates; Hominidae
Description: Metazoan signal recognition particle RNA
Rfam family: Metazoan signal recognition particle RNA
About the family: The signal recognition particle (SRP) is a universally conserved ribonucleoprotein. It is involved in the co-translational targeting of proteins to membranes.
Source: Rfam by way of RNAcentral
GCCGGGCAUGGUGGCACAUGCCUGUAAUCCCAGCUACUCAGGAGGCUGAGGCAGGAGAAUUGCUUGAACCCAGGAGGCAGAGGUUGCAGUGAGCCGAGAUUGCGCCACUGCACUCCAGCCUGGGUGACAGAGCAAGACUCUGUCUCGG